This 449-nucleotide ribosomal RNA is filed under the name uncultured bacterium. RNAcentral's name for it is "partial 16S ribosomal RNA". It matches the Rfam family "Bacterial small subunit ribosomal RNA", at positions 29 to 523 of the family's 1533-position model. The record is from RNAcentral.
AAUGAACGCUGGCGGCAUGCCUAACACAUGCAAGUCGAACGAAGGCUUCGGCCUUAGUGGCGCACGGGUGCGUAACGCGUGGGAAUCUGCCCUUGGGUUCGGAAUAACAGUUAGAAAUGACUGCUAAUACCGGAUGAUGUCGUAAGACCAAAGAUUUAUCGCCCAAGGAUGAGCCCGCGUAGGAUUAGCUAGUUGGCGGGGUAAAGGCCCACCAAGGCGACGAUCCUUAGCUGGUCUGAGAGGAUGAUCAGCCACACUGGGACUGAGACACGGCCCAGACUCCUACGGGAGGCAGCAGUGGGGAAUAUUGGACAAUGGGCGAAAGCCUGAACCAGCAAUGCCGCGUGAGUGAUGAAGGCCUUAGGGUUGUAAAGCUCUUUUACCCGGGAUGAUAAUGACAGUACCGGGAGAAUAAGCUCCGGCUAACUUCGUGCCAGCAGCCGCGGUAA